CCUACGGGAGGCAGCAGUGGGGAAUAUUGCACAAUGGAGGGAACUCUGAUGCAGCGACGCCGCGUGAGUGAAGAAGUAAUUCGGUAUGUAAAGCUCUAUCAGCAGGGAAGAAGGUGACGGUACCUGAAAAAGAAGCUCCGGCUAAAUACGUGCCAGCAGCCGCGGUAAUACGUAGGGAGCAAGCGUUAUCCGGAUUUACUGGGUGUAAAGGGAGAGUAGGUGGCAGAGCAAGUCCGAAGUGAAAACCCAAGGCUCAACUAUGGGAAUGCUUUAGAAACUGGUCAGCUAGAGUGCAGGAGAGGCGAGUGGAAUUCUUGGUGUAGCGGUGAAACGCGUAGAUAUUAGGAGGAACACUGGUGGCGAAGGCGGCCUCCUGGACUGUAACUGACACUGAGGCUCGAAAGCGUGGGGAGCAAACAGGAUUAGAUACCCUUGUAGUC
Molecule: ribosomal RNA, 440 nt
Filed under: uncultured bacterium
Lineage: Bacteria
Description: partial 16S ribosomal RNA
Rfam family: Bacterial small subunit ribosomal RNA
Source: RNAcentral